UAGGCAGAAGCCUGAGGGUUGGGGCAUAUAGCUGUUAACUAUACUUUCAUGGGAUCGAAGCCCAUCUGCCUAG
This 73-nucleotide transfer RNA is filed under the name Emberiza tristrami (Tristram's bunting). Its description in RNAcentral is "tRNA-Asn". The record is from RNAcentral. Lineage: Eukaryota; Metazoa; Chordata; Aves; Passeriformes; Fringillidae.